CGCCUUCUCUUAUCAUAUCUCUUACUUUUAUUUUUAGAUAUAAAUGAGAACAAUAGCUAAUUAAAUAUUGCUAAAAAAGAAAAAAAAUAUUAAUUAAGUUACACAUUCAUAAAUCAUAUUGCUAAUUGAUAAUUUAGAAGGUCAUCCGUUAUCUAAAAUUAAAUUUUGAACUUUAAUUGGGGUGAUUAAUAUGGAGAAUUAAUAACAAAUGAAUAAGAGAAAUUGAUGGGAAGAGAAAUAGUUGAGUAAAAAAAAAAGAGAAUAGUAAGAUAAAUCAAAUGGUAAAUGAUCAUUUAGAAAGUCGCAUGGGCAUCUCUUUUUCUCCCCCUCACCCCACCUAAGCAGCACCUACAUCGCCCGCCUCCGCUCCACCGCCGACUCCCUCGCCUUUCACUCCCCCCACAAGAAGACCCUCUUCGAUCAACAUCUGAAGCCCCUCCUUCGAUCGCUCCCACUCCUCCCCCGACGAUCCCAAUCCUGAUUCUUAUUUGGCCUUUAUUUAUUACUUUUUAAAUUUCAUUUUAUAAUAUUUUACUUUAUUCUUUUUUUGUUUGCUCUGAUAUUGAUUUUACGUCAAUAGAUGAUUGCUCCAAAUUCUAUGUCCCAUAAAUAAAAACUAAUUUGCGAAGGGAAUAAUAUGUGAGUAUUAUGUAAAUUUCAAAUUUUGCAUAAUUUGGAGUUUUUUAUGAUUU
RNAcentral lists this long non-coding RNA (692 nucleotides) under Ananas comosus (pineapple). Its description in RNAcentral is "long non-coding RNA (ACOM_LNC026444)". The record is from RNAcentral. Lineage: Eukaryota; Viridiplantae; Streptophyta; Magnoliopsida; Poales; Bromeliaceae.